This 334-nucleotide long non-coding RNA is filed under the name Callithrix jacchus (white-tufted-ear marmoset). RNAcentral describes it as "lncRNA (ENSCJAG00000073187.1)". Lineage: Eukaryota; Metazoa; Chordata; Mammalia; Primates; Cebidae. The record is from RNAcentral.
CACAGCUUGAAGAAAAUGCUGCUGACUAUCUGUCCGCUGCAGAGUUGGAGCGCUUAAUCCCUCUUCAUAUUCCACUUCCCUAACUUCUGGCAUAUAGAAUCACAUCUGCUUAACUCAGGGACUGCUGAGAUUUCAUGAGGAUUUGGGGAGUAGGAGGCAUCUUGGCAUGGAGAUCAUUAUUACUUUUUGAUCCGCCUUCGAAUGAAAUAAAUAUAACAAACAUGAAAACUACCAGAGAUUUGGGCCUGUGUAGCUUUCUCCCUACCUAGUUAAAGAAGGUUAAUUAAUAUGGCUACACUAGAUUUCCACAAGGUAUGUGUUAAUAAUCAAUCCA